RNAcentral lists this ribosomal RNA (481 nucleotides) under Muribaculaceae bacterium. Its description in RNAcentral is "bacterial SSU rRNA". It matches the Rfam family "Bacterial small subunit ribosomal RNA", at positions 1050 to 1533 of the family's 1533-position model. Lineage: Bacteria; Pseudomonadati; Bacteroidota; Bacteroidia; Bacteroidales; Muribaculaceae. The record is from RNAcentral.
UGUCGUCAGCUCGUGCCGUGAGGUGUCGGCUUAAGUGCCAUAACGAGCGCAACCCCCACCGCCAGUUGCCAACAGGCAAAGCUGGGAACUCUGGCGGGACUGCCGGCGCAAGCUGCGAGGAAGGCGGGGACGACGUCAAAUCAGCACGGCCCUUACGUCCGGGGCGACACACGUGUUACAAUGGCGCCCACAGCGGGAAGCCAGGCGGCGACGCCGAGCGGAACCCGAAAAGGCGCCUCAGUUCGGAUUGGAGUCUGCAACCCGACUCCAUGAAGCUGGAUUCGCUAGUAAUCGCGCAUCAGCCACGGCGCGGUGAAUACGUUCCCGGGCCUUGUACACACCGCCCGUCAAGCCAUGGGAGCCGGGAGUGCCUGAAGUGCGCGGCCGCGAGGAGCGCCCUAGGGCAAGACUGGUGACUGGGGCUAAGUCGUAACAAGGUAGCCGUACCGGAAGGUGCGGCUGGAACACCUCCUUUCUGGAG